CGCGCAGGCGGUCGUUCAAGUCGCGUGUGAAAGCCCCCGGCUCAACUGGGGAGGGUCACGCGAUACUGAUCGACUCGAAGGCAGGAGAGGGAAGUGGAAUUCCCGGUGUAGUGGUGAAAUGCGUAGAUAUCGGGAGGAACACCAGUGGCGAAGGCGACUUCCUGGCCUGUUCUUGACGCUGAGGCGCGAAAGCUAGGGGAGCAAACG
RNAcentral lists this ribosomal RNA (207 nucleotides) under uncultured bacterium. RNAcentral's name for it is "partial 16S ribosomal RNA". It matches the Rfam family "Bacterial small subunit ribosomal RNA", at positions 568 to 774 of the family's 1533-position model. The record is from RNAcentral.